RNAcentral lists this ribosomal RNA (370 nucleotides) under uncultured organism. Its description in RNAcentral is "bacterial SSU rRNA". It matches the Rfam family "Bacterial small subunit ribosomal RNA", at positions 526 to 896 of the family's 1533-position model. The record is from RNAcentral.
CAGAGGGUGCAAGCGUUAUCCGGAUUUAUUGGGCGUAAAGCGUUUCGUAGGUGGUUUAGUAAGUUAAAUUUCAAAGACCAGGGCUUAACCCGGGGAAGGGAUUUAAUACUGCUAGACUUGAGAAUUUUAGGGGCAAUCGGAACUGUUGGUGUAGGGGUGAAAUCCGUUGAUAUCAACAGGAACGUCAAGGGCGUAGGCAGAUUGCUGGGAAAUUUCUGACACUGAGGAACGAAAGCUAGGGGAGCGAAAGGGAUUAGAGACCCCUGUAGUCCUAGCCGUAAACUUUGCCUGCUAGCGAUGGGGAGUUAAAUCUCCGUUGCGUAAGCUAACGCGUUAAGCGGGCCGCCUGGGGAGUACGAACGCAAGUUUA